This 850-nucleotide long non-coding RNA is filed under the name Spirodela polyrhiza (greater duckweed). RNAcentral describes it as "long non-coding RNA (SPOL_LNC001731)". The record is from RNAcentral. Lineage: Eukaryota; Viridiplantae; Streptophyta; Magnoliopsida; Alismatales; Araceae.
CUACCCAUUUUCGCCCAAUGAGGCGUAAUGGGCCUUACUGGGCCCAUCGAAUGACAGACGGACAGCCGACCCAGAAUAAGGGCAGAUAUGUCAUCAAAUUACUACCAAAAGUUGCAGGUUCGUCUCCUCCUCUUCAGUAACGCAACUCCAAAACCUUGUGAGCUUCUCCUGCAUCAAGCUCGACCAUCCAUGGCCGACCGCCCAAAAUUAACCUGUUUGCAAGCAACUGUAGAAGAUCGAUCGGAUCCAAAGAUAACCCUUGAGAGCGGAUGCGGUACCCAAAAAAACCCUGAUCGGAUUUUAUUUUUUUUGUAUAGAUCACGAAUUCACCCGAUCUUCAUUGAUCAUGCACCCAGGAAUUCCCGAUCGAAUGAGAGAAGAAGGCGCAAUCUACCAGGCCUCUCCCGCUGAUCCAAGCCAGGAAAUCAAGAUCGGGACUCACCUCGACGGAGGAGCGCGCGCUGAUGGCGUCCUGCGGGAAUCAGCCUCUUGUUGAUGCGGAUGAUCCUCUCCCCUUCGAGAACUGUGGAGCCGGUAGAGAAUUGAAGCAGGCGAUGUCGAAUCAAGAACUACAGAUCGCUGGAUCCCAAAUCAUGCUACUGACGACAUGUUUUCCUCAGUUUGCUCGCAUUCUAACGUGGAUGCGAGACAGAUUCAACAACAACAAAAAAAAAGGCGAGAGCUAUCCCUCUGGCGCACGACCAGAGCACGACGGUAGGGGAAGAGGGGAAACGGAUGGAAAGGAGACAUGAGAGCUUGGCGGGAAAGAGACGGCUCGAGUUCGAGCGUCCUCAGAAGCCCAGCUUCGUGCGGCGCCAGUGCCUCCGCUUCGCGUUGUAGCGGAUGGUGU